RNAcentral lists this ribosomal RNA (253 nucleotides) under uncultured bacterium. RNAcentral describes it as "partial 16S ribosomal RNA". It matches the Rfam family "Bacterial small subunit ribosomal RNA", at positions 524 to 776 of the family's 1533-position model. The record is from RNAcentral.
UACGUAGGGGGCAAGCGUUGUCCGGAUUUAUUGGGCGUAAAGAGCGUGUAGGCGGCCAGGUAAGUCCGUUGUGAAAACUCGAGGCUCAACCUCGAGACGCCGAUGGAAACCAUCUGGCUAGAGUCCGGAAGAGGAGAGUGGAAUUCCCGGUGUAGCGGUGAAAUGCGCAGAUAUCGGGAAGAACACCCGUGGCUAAGGCGGCUCUCUAGUACGGUACUGACGCUGAGACGCGAAAGCGUGGGGAGCGAACAGG